GAGAAUUGAGGAAUUAAGAAAAUAAGAAUAAAGAAUUUAAAAUAAAGAAAGAAAUAAAGAAAGAAAGAAUGAAAUACCGUGAAGGUAUAGUAUAGAUACAAUGAAAUGAAUUUCAAAAUAAUAUAACCACAGAUAAUAUAAACCAUAAAAUAGACACCUUCAAGAUGUCGGGUGACAGAAUAUAUACAGAGAUAUAACCUUAACCCUAACCCCUAAUGUGUCAAAACAAGGAUUGUCAACAGGAAGCAAGAACAGUGUAAGAAGACUCGUUAAGAAUGGGAACAAGAACAAGAUUACCUACUAAAAAGCCUGAUAGUCAACUCAGAAAAAGGAAACAAGCAAGAAAAGCACACUGUCACCCUAUUACGACAGAACUAUAAAAUAACAAUACCAGAGAUAGACAUCAUGAAUUAAUUGAAUUAAAGAAUAUCAAAGAAGAAUCAGAAUAUCCAAGGAUAUAACAGGCGACAACCAAGGAAACGACAGUAAAAUAAAAUAAAUAGUGAUAAACAGUGAUAACGCGGCACAAAUAACUAAAUAUAAAAUAUAAGUAUAUUGAAUAUAGAAUAACCGCAUCAAAGCAAACCAUAAAUAUAUUAAUUUAAUCUACAACACUUUGUACCACCAUAAAUAUAAAAUUAAACUAAAUCGUAACAGUAACUUUAAUUCAGUUAAUACAGAAUGAAUGAACAAUAACGGAGUGAAAGAAUGAACGAAUUAUCAGUGAAGUUAUUAAUAAAGAAAUUAAAGAGAAUGAAGUGAAUAGGAAGCGUAAAGUAUAAAGUGAAAGCCACGACCAGCAUAAUGUAAUAAUAUAGGGUAAAGCAACGCAGUGUAAUAUAAUGCAAUGUAAUAUAAUAAUGUAAACAAAUGUUGUAUAAUAAAUAAAGUAGAAUAUAAAAUACAAGAAGUAGACUCAAAAUAUAACCGUAAAGCUUAUUAACUAAAUACUCUAUUUCUAUACCAAAGUAAAUUAUAUGUUAAAUGGUAAAUGGUGGAUGAUAAGUGAUCGUGUCAAUGCAAAUGUACAUAGAACCAAUUAUUUCAUGACAUUUCAAAAUAAGGAAAUAAACAACACGUAAAUAUUCAAAUCAAAUAUAAACUGUGUAAUUCAGUUAAACACUAUGCUACUGCAUAGUGUAAGAAUAAAUCAAUCAAUCAAUCAAUAAGUAAAGUAUUCUAAACUAAUAUUUAAAAUGGUGAAAUUAAACAGAACCCGCGCAGCAUGAAAGCAUUUGAAUGGACAAAACCACUCAUCAUCACAGAAGAAUAGCAAAAUUAAUUAAGAUAAAUCAAAUCAAAUCACCAACCUCAACUGGUCAGAAUAAAUAAAUGAAUGAAUAACGAAUAAUGAAUAAAUGAAUGAAUGAAUGAAUGAAUAAAUCAAGGAAAAGAGAAACAACAGAAUACUAGCAAGUACGAGUAAGCAAACCCUAAUGCGCCAAAGCCACGGUGUCAAAACUAGCAUGCAAGGACUAGCUAAAAGGAACGACAUUGAAUAAGAGAACUGAAUUGCAACUGAAAAGGAAAAGAAAAGAAAGGAAACAAGAAACAGCCCACCAUCAUGGAAGAGCAACAUUAUGACCAGAGAAAGACGUCAUGAAUAAGCUGGAUUAAAGGAAAUCAAAGGAACACCAAAACAUUAAUGAAUAUCAAGGAUGCACAGGGAAAUCAAGAACAAAUCAAGAAGCGAUAAUGAAACAAAAUGUAUAACAGCGAUAACGCGACCUAAUAAAUUAGAGUAAUAAUAAAUAUAUUAAAUACAAUAUAAAAUAAAGAAUAACCAUGGAAGCAAAUCAUAAAUAUAUUAAUACUAAUACAAUCUACAGAACUUUGUACCAUCGUGUGUUAAAAUAAACUAAAUCAUAACAGUUACUUUAGUUCAAUUUUAUUCAGGACGAAUGAACAGUGACAGAGCGAAGGUAGUAAUCAACAUAGUAUGAUAAUGUAAUAAUGUAAUGUUCCGCAAUAUAACGUAGUGUCACGUAAUAUAAUGUAAAACAGAAGGUAUUAUACUAAAGUAAAAUACAAAAUACAAAUACAAGAAGUGUGUUUAAUGAAAUAAUAUAGUACAAUCGUACAGAUUAUUAGCUACAAUAUUCCAUCUCUUAACCAGAAUAGCCUACAAGUUAAAUCAUAAAUUAUAAACUACAAAUUAUAAAUUAUAAAUCAUAAACCGUAAAUAAUUGUGGACACCGCUUGUCAGCACAAAGGAAAGAAAUUAGAGUAAAAUAAAUUAAACCCUUUGACUAUUAAUCAGAUAAACAAUGAGCAAAGAACGAAUGAAUGACUGAAUAAAUAAAUAGUAAUGAGUAAAUAAUAAGUGAAUAACGAAAGAUUGAAUAUAUGACUGCGAGCACAACUAUAGAAAUUAAGAAACUGGGAAAUUGAGGAACCGAGAAAUUGAGUAAAUAAAGAAAUAAGAAAAAGCGAAGAGGAAGUGAAAAUGAAAAUGGGAAAGUGUACUGCAAGCCGUAAAGUGUAAUGUGCAAGCAAAAUAACCAGCACAAUACACUGUGAUAUAAAAGAAAAGAAAAUAAAGAAUGAAUGAUACCGUGAAGGUAUAGCAUAGAUACAGUGAAGUGAAUUUCAAAAUAAUAUAACCAUAGAUAACAUAAACCAUAGAAUAGACACCUUCAAAGAUGUCGGGUAACAGAAUAUACAUAACCUUAACCCUAACCCCUAAUGUGUCAAAACAAGGAUUGUCAACAGAAAGCAAGAAGAGUGUAAGAAGACUCGUUAAGAAUGGGAACAAGAACAAGAUUACCUACUAAAAAGCCUGAUAGUCAACUCAGAAAAAGGAAACAAGCAAGAAAAGCACACUGUCACCCUAUUAUGACAGAACUAUAAAAUACCAAUACCUGAGAGAGACAUCAUGAAUUAAUUGAAUUAACGAAUAUCAAAAAAGAAUCAGAAUAUCCAAGGAUAUAACAGGUGACAACCAAGGAAACGACAGUAAAAUAAAAUAAAUAGUGAUAAACAGUGAUAACGCGGCACAAAUAACUAAAUAUAAAAUAUAAGUAUAUUGAAUAUAGAAUAACCGCAUCAAAGCAAACCAUAAAUAUAUUAAUUUAAUCUACAACACUUUGUACCACCAUAAAUAUAAAAUUAAACUAAAUCAUAACAGUAACUUUAAUUCAGUUAAUACAGAAUGAAUGAACAAUAACGGAGUGAAAGAAUGAACGAAUUAUCAGUGAAGUUAUUAAUAAAGAAAUUAAAGAGAAUGAAGUGAAUAGGAAGCGUAAAGUAUAAAGUGAAAGCCACGACCAGCAUAAUGUAAUAAUAUAGGGUAAAGCAACACAGUGUAAUAUAAUGCAAUGUAAUAUAAUAAUGUAAAACAAAUGAUAUAUAAUAAAAUAAAGUAGAAUAUAAAAUACAAGAAGUGGACUCAAAAUAUAACCGUAAAGCUUAUUAACUAAAUACUCUAUUUCUUUACCAAAGUAAAUUAUAUGUUAAAUGGUAAAUGGUGGAUGAUAAGUGAUCGUGUCAAUGCAAAUGUACAUAGAACCAAUUAUUUCAUGACAUUUCAAAAUAAGGAAAUAAACAACACGUAAAUAUUCAAAUCAAAUAUAAACUGUGUAAUUCAGUUAAACACUAUGCUACUGCAUAGUGUAAGAAUAAAUCAAUCAAUCAAUCAAUAAGUAAAGUAUUCUAAACUAAUAUUUAAAAUGGUGAAAUUAAACAGAACCCGCGCAGCAUGAAAGCAUUUGAAUGGACAAAACCACUCAUCAUCACAGAAGAAUAGCAAAAUUAAUUAAGAUAAAUCAAAUCAAAUCACCAACCUCAACUGGUCAGAAUAAAUAAAUGAAUGAAUAACGAAUAAUGAAUUAAUGAAUGAAUGAAUGAAUGAAUAAAUCAAGGAAAAGAGAAACAACAGAAUACUAGCAAGUACGAGUAAGCAAACCCUAAUGCGCCAAAGCCACGGUGUCAAAACUAGCAUGCAAGGACUAGCUAAAAGGAACGACAUUGAAUAAGAGAACUGAAUUGCAACUGAAAAGGAAAAGAAAAGAAAGGAAACAAGGUAAGAAACAGCCCACCAUCAUGGAAGAGCAACAUUAUGACCAGAGAAAGACGUCAUGAAUAAGCUGGAUUAAAGGAAAUCAAAGGAACACCAAAACAUUAAUGAAUAUCAAGGAUGCACAGGGAAAUCAAGAACAAAUCAAGAAGCGAUAAUGAAACAAAAUGUAUAACAGCGAUAACGCGACCUAAUAAAUUAGAGUAAUAAUAAAUAUAUUAAAUACAAUAUAAAAUAAAGAAUAACCAUGGAAGCAAAUCAUAAAUAUAUUAAUACUAAUACAAUCUACCGAACUUUGUACCAUCGUGUGUUAAAAUAAACUAAAUAAUAACAGUUACUUUAGUUCAAUUUUAUUCAGGACGAAUGAACAGUGACAGAGCGAAGGUAGUAAUCAACAUAGUAUGAUAAUGUAAUAAUGUAAUGUUCCGCAAUAUAACGUAGUGUCACGUAAUAUAAUGUAAAACAGAAGGUAUUAUACUAAAGUAAAAUACAAAAUACAAAUACAAGAAGUGUGUUUAAUGAAAUAAUAUAGUACAAUCGUACAGAUUAUUAGCUACAAUAUUCCAUCUCUUAACCAGAAUAGCCUACAAGUUAAAUCAUAAAUUAUAAACUACACAUUAUAAAUUAUAAAUCAUAAACCGUAAAUAAUUGUGGACACCGCUUGUCAGCACAAAGGAAAGAAAUUAGAGUAAAAUAAAUUAAACCCUUUGACUAUUAAUCAGAUAAACAAUGAGCAAAGAACGAAUGAAUGACUGAAUAAAUAAAUAGUAAUGAGUAAAUAAUAAGUGAAUAACGAAAGAUUGAAUAUAUGACUGCGAGCACAACUAUAGAAAUUAAGAAACUGGGAAAUUGAGGAACCGAGAAAUUGAGUAAAUAAAGAAAUAAGAAAAAGCGAAGAGGAAGUGAAAAUGAAAAUGGGAAAGUGUACUGCAAGCCGUAAAGUGUAAUGUGCAAGCAAAAUAACCAGCACAAUACACUGUGAUAUAAAAGAAAAGAAAAUAAAGAAUGAAUGAUACCGUGAAGGUAUAGCAUAGAUACAGUGAAGUGAAUUUCAAAAUAAUAUAACCAUAGAUAAUAUAAACCAUAGAACAGCCACCUUCAAAGAUGUCAGGUGACAGAAUUUACAGAGAUAUAACCUUAACCCUAACCCCCAAUGUGUCAAAACAAGGAUGUCAACAGGAAGCAAGAACAGUGUAAGAAGACUCGUUAGGGAUAAGAAGAACAAAUUACCAAUUAAGGAACCCUGAUUGUCAACUCAAGGACAGGAAACAAGCAAGAAAGGCACUGUCACCCUUUUGUGAAAGGGCUACGCAAUACCAAUGCCAGGGAGAGACAUCGCGAAUUAAUUGAAUUAAAGAAUAUCGAAGAAGAAUCAAAAUAUCCAAGGAUAUAUAACAGGCGACAAAUCAAGAAGGCGACAGGAAAUGGAAUAAAAUAGUGGUAGUCAGUGAUAACGUGACACAAUUAAAUUAAAAUAUAAAAUAUAUAUGUAUUAAAUGUAUUAAAUAUAGAAUAACCGCAUAAAAGUAAACAUAAAU
This is a long non-coding RNA of Osmia bicornis bicornis, 5553 nucleotides long. RefSeq lists it as uncharacterized. The record is from RefSeq and is a predicted model, not a curated record. The transcript is spliced from 8 exons. NCBI's taxonomy places the organism in Eukaryota, Metazoa, Arthropoda, Insecta, Hymenoptera, Megachilidae.